RNAcentral lists this ribosomal RNA (520 nucleotides) under Wickerhamiella versatilis. Its description in RNAcentral is "LSU rRNA". It matches the Rfam family "Eukaryotic large subunit ribosomal RNA", at positions 62 to 647 of the family's 3401-position model. The record is from RNAcentral. Lineage: Eukaryota; Fungi; Ascomycota; Dipodascomycetes; Dipodascales; Trichomonascaceae.
AAACCCACCGGGGUUGCCCUAGUAACGGCGAGUGAAGCGGCAAAAGCCCAAAUUUGAAAUCCUCUUUUGAGGAGUUGUAAUUUGGAGAUGGAGUGCUGGACUCAGCUCUGUGGAAGUUGGCUGGAAAGCCGCGCCUUGGAGGGUGAUAGCCCCGUGCCACGGAGGUCCUGUGUCUGUGUAGUACUCUUUCUACGAGUCGCGUUGUUUGGGAAUGCAGCGCUAAGUGGGUGGUAAAUUCCAUCUAAGGCUAAAUAUUGGCGAGAGACCGAUAGCGAACAAGUACUGUAAAGGAAAGAUGAAAAGCACUUUGAAAAGAGAGUGAAAUAGCACGUGAAAUCGUUGAAGUGGAAGGGCUUAAAGCUACACACCUUCUUCGGAAGGGGCUAACAUCAGUUUUGCCGGAUGGAUAAAUGGUAAAGAAAGUGGCAUCUUCGGAUGUGUUAUAGCUUUAUCAAAUACGUCCCGGCGGGAUUGAGGACCGCGCUUUAUGCAGGGAGGUGGCCUUAUGGGUUUAAGCCAA